Molecule: ribosomal RNA, 374 nt
Filed under: uncultured organism
Description: partial 16S ribosomal RNA
Rfam family: Bacterial small subunit ribosomal RNA
Source: RNAcentral
GUAGGUGGCAAGCGUUGUCCGGAAUUAUUGGGCGUAAAGCGCGCGCAGGCGGUUCUUUAAGUCUGAUGUGAAAGCCCACGGCUCAACCGUGGAGGGUCAUUGGAAACUGGAGAACUUGAGUACAGAAGAGGAAAGCGGAAUUCCACGUGUAGCGGUGAAAUGCGUAGAGAUGUGGAGGAACACCAGUGGCGAAGGCGGCUUUCUGGUCUGUAACUGACACUGAGGCGCGAAAGCGUGGGGAGCAAACAGGGAUUAGAUACCCUGGUAGUCCACGCCGUAAACGAUGAGUGCUAAGUGUUAGGGGGGUUUCCGCCCCCUUAGUGCUGCAGCUAACGCAUUAAGCACUCCGCCUGGGGAGUACGGCCGCAAGGCUG